UUGAGCUCAGCAAACUAAGGCCCAAAGUGACAUUGUUUUGUAUUGCAUUCAGACCAGGGGUGUCUAAGUAGCAACAAGGGUGUAUGCUAAAAAUACCAUGGGCUUAUGAAUUGUUAGAGCCUAAACCACCACGUCAAGGGAAAGGGGAAACAAUGAAGAACGCCUCAUUUCCCAAGUCAAUCAUACUUAGUCCUCUCUCCCUCACACCAAACCUCUCAUCGAAGCCCUUACCCCACCGCUCUGGAAAUCGCCUCCGGUGGCGGUGAAGGUCCAAACACUAUCAAGUUUACCUCAUCUGGCUUGUUUUUAUUUCUUCUCACUCAAUCUCAUAAUAUUUUCUUUGAAUUCCUAACCAACGCUGCGAAUCAAACCAAAAUGUUCGUGAACCGUAAAAUUACAAAACGAAAUUAAAUGGUGCAGAUGAGCUAAAAGGAGUCCAAACCUUAGGGGUUUGGCUCCUUAAGAACGUCACUAUAUUGUGGUAAGGGAGAGGGUUCAAUUUAAAGAGGAAAAGGCGUGAAACCUACCAAUGAGAACAAGAUGUUCCCCGGAAAUUAUUGGAAUGAAGAAGAUGAAGCCAAAGAGAAUUCUAGAGAAAACUUCAAGGAGGAAAAUGCUCCAAGCUUGCUUUUCCUCUGCUAUCUUCGUCUUCUUCUUAAACUUAUAGUCUGUAGGUGAAAAUAUGAAAUGUUAUUCUAUUGCUGAGUUAUUUUGCGUGCUUGAGAUUGGGAGUUGAGAGAAUUUUGGUGACCUUUCAAUGAAUGGUGAUUGUGAUUGUGUGUGAUUCUGAAUGAUUUUCAAUGAAUCAAUCUGAGAGUAAGGGAAUGAUUAGAUAGAGCUUGGGGCUUGUAACUGAAUGGAGCAGUUUGGUCAGGGCUGUUAGGGUAGAGUUAGCUCAGUUAUCUUUCUAAGUAGAAGUUUGUUAGGGUUAAUUAACUCGGUUAGGAACUGUUAGAUUCAGUUAUAAUCUAUUAAGUGCAAAUAGUUAAAUUGAAUUUUGUUAGCCUUCUGUUAUGUUAUAUUAUGGGUUUGAAUUUAGUCAUUGGAAUGGUGUUAAUUUAAGUGUAACUUUUAGAAGUUAGGAGGAAUCAGCAAAGUCAUUAUGUUAGCAAAAUGUGAAAUUGUUGUCAUGAAUUUUGAAUGCAUGUAUAAGUUGGGUUCAAUUAUUCUUAGUGUUAGUGAUUAAUGUGAGACUAAGGUUAGCAUGUUUAUGAUAAGCUACUAUUAGAAAAAUGGAUUGAGGCAAUCAAUUUGCAAUUGGAUUGAAGUGAAACAAAUACUUAAGCUUGAACUUAGGCGCCUGGAACUCUGUUAGGCAAUUAGUUAGAAAAAUGUUAGAAUGUUCCUGAGCAGUGGUUAUUCUGAAUGAAUUAGGUUGCAUUUGAACGUUAGAAUAAAAAUGUAACUUGUGAAAUACUUAUGAAUUAAUUGUUAUGUUAGUUGACAAUUGGAUUGAAUUUGGUAUUGGAAACUAUUAAUGGUUAAUGAUGAAUGUAUUAAUAAAGACAUUGUAGUAUGAGUUUGAAGAAAAAAACUUAUAAUUAUGGUUAAUGGCUUAUAGACAUUUUCAGUGGUAAUUUAAAUUUGGAAAAGAAGCAAAAAUGAUGAACUGGUAUAUGUUGAUGAACUACUAGGCAAUGGAUUAAAUGGGAUAAUAGUUUAGUCAUGUUGAAUGAUGAUGUAUUUCUAUACUAUUGUGGUGUAUGUGCAUGAAUCCUAAUGGUUCAUUACAUAUGGUUUUACAGGGAUGACACAUGGUAGGAGGAGCAAGUCAUGGAGGUUGGCACAAAUGUUAUGAAGAACAUGGGUCAAGGUUUGCAUGGUAAGGUUCAUAAAAGUUUUGGCAAGCUAUCAAACAUGAAGAUCUUGACCACUUUGGAAUAUAUUGUGAAGGAAGAAAAUUAGAAUUAGGGUUUUAGGAUUAGGAUUAGUUCAGUUGACUUUGGCCAAUUGUUUGACCAAAAAGUCAAUAGUUGACCAAAGUCAAUUGUAGGUCAAAAGUGAAAUCUUGUGUAAUUUGGCUUUGUAAUUUGGAUUUUAAAUGUAAAAUGGAUGUUUUGGUAAUUAAAAAUGGUCUUAAAUGAAAUGUCUUGUAUGUUAAGUAACUUGCCCUUCAGGAUUUGAAACUUGAAUUAAAUCUUGCACUUUCAAUA
This 2153-nucleotide long non-coding RNA is filed under the name Lathyrus oleraceus (garden pea). RNAcentral's name for it is "Pisum sativum (pea) long non-coding RNA (PSAT_LNC020908)". The record is from RNAcentral. Lineage: Eukaryota; Viridiplantae; Streptophyta; Magnoliopsida; Fabales; Fabaceae.